AUUUAAAUAAUUUAAUAAAAAUAUUGAUUUGUGGAAUCAAAAAUGUAAUUAGUUUACUUUAAAUU
This 65-nucleotide transfer RNA is filed under the name Cameraria ohridella. Its description in RNAcentral is "tRNA-His". Lineage: Eukaryota; Metazoa; Arthropoda; Insecta; Lepidoptera; Gracillariidae. The record is from RNAcentral.